Long non-coding RNA from Myotis myotis, 1071 nucleotides. RefSeq lists it as uncharacterized. Lineage: Eukaryota; Metazoa; Chordata; Mammalia; Chiroptera; Vespertilionidae. The record is from RefSeq and is a predicted model, not a curated record. The transcript has 6 exons.
CUUAAUUCUGAAACCAAGGAUCACUGUGACUCCACAGAAAGCAAGUUGGCGAGAGUCCACGUGGCACGCGGCCCUUUCCGUUCCGGAGAAAGCCAGGCCCCACAGGAAGGAGCGGCUGCCGGCCUGGCCGCGCGGAGGGCGGGCUUCCCGCGCUCGCCCUGGAAGGGGAAGCUCCCAGGCGCUCCCAGGGGCCGCUCUCCUCGCCCUGCCGGGUUCCCUCCUCGGGAAGAAGGGCAGCUAUUAGCGACUCCUACUGAGGUGUCCCUUCUGGAGGCCGAAAGUCUGUGAUCGAAGUGUCAUCAGGCUGAUUUCCUCUGAGGCCUCUCUUUGGCCCGCAGACGCUGCCCUCUCGCUGUGUCCUCGCGUGGUCGCUUCCCUGUGCGUGUGCUCAUAAAAGAUCAACCUGGAGUGAACCAACAACCAUAGCUCGUAUCUUCAUAGGGCUUCUUUGCCCAAGAAAGGCUCCUUAAUGGUGAAAAGAAAAGAGCUGCAUUGUUGAUAAAAUGUUGCCAGCGUUUGUCUGCCAGACAACUUGGUGUAGAGAAUCACCAUGUUGAGAGCAGGGACGGUGUACCGCCUUCAGACGUCUGACAGCUGUGCACAGACGUCCACUAGGUGUUUGUUGACAGCCCAUCUGAAUACUACCUUUUUAAGGCCUCAUAACUCCUUAGUAGCCCAGUCAGGUCCGGGUAUGUUUCCAUGAGGACAUUCUCAUCUCCUGAAAUAGAGAGAGUGGAACAGGAAGUUUGGAAAACGUCUCUCUUUUUAAACAUGGAAUGGAUGAUUGAAAACAAUGACCUUAUUCAAUAAUCUAAGCAGAGUCUGUUGUCCAUGAAUCAUACUGCAUACAGAAAGGAUCCAGGGUAGAAUGGGAGCUAUAAAGAAGGAUCACCCAGCUUGGGCGCACGCGAGUAACCAGCCCAGGGUGCUCGGUCUUAGAAGACACUCUGGAAUCAGAGAAUGUUUAGUUCAGAUCUCUGUUUACUACUUACCAUUGGGGUGACCCAACGAACAAGCCUCAAUCUCUCUCUUUCCUCAUCUGUAAUGGAGGAUAACAACACCCACCUGAAG